GAGGUCACGCACAGAGCUGAUCCGGAAGAAGAUUUUAACCACGUUGUUUUGUUUUUGUCAGCGCGAGCUGGCUAACAUUUCGCUUUGAAUUCCCUAACUAAUUGUUCUUCAGCCAUUGGGAAGUAAUUUGCUAAUUGUAAGUGCAAUAAAGAUUUUCCAUCCUGUUUCGAAGUCAAAUAUAUAAAAAGGUGGGUGGCUAAAUAGUUGUUCUAGCCCAGCCUUCCUCACUAGUAAGUCAUCUAUGGUAGCUAGUUUAGCUAGCUAACAGUUGAUUGCAGAUGUUCCAGAUACAUUUUAUCUCCAUAUCCAUAUCUCCAAUACUUUUUAUUUCGUCUCUCAUUAUUUCCCCACUGAAAGAUAUUGUAGCGAACGGAGGCAAACUCGGGUCGCAGGAGUAAAAGGCAAACACCCAACGCAUCGCGCCAUUUAAACUGGGUUAACCCACUUGUUGGGUAUAAUAAUGUAUAUUAUAGACUGGUUGGUUUGAGCCCUGAAUGCUGAUUGCUUGACAGCCGUGGUAUAUCAGACGGGCUGUUGGUGGGAGAUGAUCGUGUGAAGAAUGGUCUCAACCUCAUGUAUGAAGCUCCACCUGGGGCAGACAAAGGAAGGAGAAUCAGAAUACAAGUUUGAGUGGCAAAAGACGUCCCCUCGAGGGAAGUAAGUAACUAAUUGUGUUGAUCAACAUAAAUAUUCAGAUGACUUGAAGCCUACUAUUAGAGGUUACCUUUGCUUUUGGGGAUACUUUCAUCUUUUUAGGUAUGCCAAGGAUGUCAUGGCUCGUAAACUUUUGGGUAAAUUAAUAUUGUGCAGUUUUCCCAUUUGUGUUGAAUUAACUUAUGACAUACCUAUUUAUGACAAUCUACUGUUACAUGUGAUUGCUAGGCUAAAUAUUGUCCUAUUAACAAAAUAAAUGUGUUGGCAUUUGACACUUGGUGGUGCUAAAGUCAAAGGAUGAUAUCUAACUCGGGAUAACGAUGUGUUUAUUUACAUUAUGGCAGGUGUAGUAUAUGUGCUUUGCUUGUCGUCGUCGCAAUUGGGUUGUAUGGAAGGUGUUAUAAGUGAUGGAAUGAAUGGAUUUAAGUCCAGUCUAAUGACCUGUGAUUCUCCUGUGCGCAAUGUGAACUGCAUCGUGUGUCACAAAUAGGGCCAUAUGAAUGCAGACAGUGUACCCUCUCUUUGGCCUGUAGGGGAUCAAUGCCAGCGCUGCGCCCACAGAGAAAGCAGGUACCAAUAACAAUCUGACCUACCUGGAUGAAUAGAGGAAAAGAGUUGACUGGUAAUUCCAAAUAAUAGUUCACAGAUGUAGCUAAUGGUUUAUUUUAAACUAAAUGUUAUCAAGGUUUUUUUCUUCAUAUUUUCAUUCUCAACAAUAAAAUCCUCCUUUUUAUUUUUGCACUGACUUUGAAAGCAUUUGAACAAAGAACUUAUGAUGCAGACAAAUUGCAAUAAUAAUGUGUCCCAAUAGAAUGGGCAUUCAGUAUUACAUUGGAUAUUUGUGGUAACUCUAUACUUGUAGCAGUAGUUGCCAUCACUCCUGGUGUCCUGUAGAACUUCCAGAGUGGAGCUGGUUCUGACUCCUACAAUCAGGAAGUGAAGUAGUAAAGUAAUGUUUACAGAGGGAGAGUCCUGCGCAUGGAGUUGAUGGUGGAGGGCGAUAAUGGAGCCCCUCCUGUGCUGGGAGAAAAAUGCAUUUAUUGUGUAUUCUGAUUCCCCUAACCACUGCUUUGGGAGAAUGAUAUUAUAUGAUUUGCUCAGCCUGAAGAUGAGUGAGUUGAUUUGGUGUCCCUUUCUGUUAACAAAGCCGGCCCUGAAUUCCCCACUGCGGAAGCAGUGGCGGAUGUGGACAGGCGUCAAUGGGACUUUGAGGCUGUGAUUUGUGUUAACAGGUCCGUCGAUGCACCCCUCCGAGUUAAUGGCAGAGAUGCGAAACAGUGGGUUUGCCCUGAAGAAAUGUGUCCUUGGAAGAAAUUCUUCUGUUUGUGAUCCAUCGCAGGAGUAUGUUGUCAAUGAAGAAGAGGAGGAUCCUGAGGUUGAAUUCCUGAAGUCGUUGACCACUAAACAGAAAGAGAAGCUCCUCAGGAAACUUGAGGGUCUACAAAAGAAGAGUGAAGGACCGUGAUAGUAGUGACAGCUCCAGUGAAAGUAGUAGCAGUGACUGACUGACAGCUCCAGUGAAAGUAGUAGCAGUGACUGACUGACAGCUCCAGUGAAAGUAGUAGCAGUGACUGACUGACAGCUCCAGUGAAAGUAGUAGCAGUGACU
Molecule: long non-coding RNA, 2262 nt
Organism: Oncorhynchus gorbuscha (pink salmon)
Lineage: Eukaryota; Metazoa; Chordata; Actinopteri; Salmoniformes; Salmonidae
Exons: 5
Source: RefSeq, a predicted model, not a curated record